GAAGAGAGCUGCUGUAUUGACCUAGACGUAAAUGUUGAAAGAAUUAUUAAUAUCAUAAUCCAUGAAUGGAUGUGAUAUGUCUGAUGAGACAAAUCAUGAAGAGGCGGCGUAUUUUUCGUAAGCAGCCAUUUUUCCAAUAUAAUUUAUUGGCUGCAUAAAAGUCUUCUUGUGUGACUUUAUCCAGAAAAGAGAGAUGGAAUAAUCCUGUCUAUUUAUUUAUAUGAUUUAUAUGGCUGCCUAUCAUAAGCCACUCUGGGUGGUUUACUUGCAACUUUUUAUCUGCACUCGUAGCUCUGAUUGUUAGAAAGUUAAACCAUAAUUUAAUGACAAUUGGAAAUCAUCAUAGACUGCUACAACAACUCUUAUGCUAUUUAUUGGAAGAUGCACACUGGGUGCCUUCAAAGUGGCAACAUUCUGGGAAUUUAUUAAUUGGAAUACUUUCCAAUGGUACGUCUGCACAUUAGUAACAGGAUAAUCAAUGUGUUUUGUAAUUUUGCAAGAGAAAUCCUUUUCCAGUUCUACC
Pantherophis guttatus is the source of this 523-nucleotide non-coding RNA. NCBI's taxonomy places the organism in Eukaryota, Metazoa, Chordata, Lepidosauria, Squamata, Colubridae. The record is from RefSeq and is a predicted model, not a curated record.